AGGGUCGGAACCAGGGAAGGACGGGAGACCGGACGGGGCUGAACAUUCAAACAUGCCAUAUCAUAUCGCUUAUUUAUGUUUUCACCACACCAGCGGUACACCACAUGGAUCUGUGGCCUGCUGUACAUCAUAUACACACGGACACGGAAAGCAUCACAGGCGGGUGCAGCUCCGACCCUGCGAGAUCCACCGUCGGCGAUGAGCCUGUGAUCUAAGACAUCUUGACGUGCUCCAUGCGCUGCCUCUCCAUGUACUCGAAGAGGCUGCCGUCGUACAUGCGCCGGAUGGCCUCCCUCGACAGGUACCCUUCGUCGUCCCGCGCCAGCACGUACAGGAUCGACCACUCCAGCUUCAUCGCCACCCUGCAUCCAUCCGUAUCAUCUCACACCAGUCAGUUAUACAACAACAUAGCCGCAGCAUGUAGCGACUGAAACUGAAGGUCCAGUCAUGCUGAUCGUGUAAUUAGUCGGUUACCAGCCGAAGAAAUCGAACACCUCCCGGGACCCCUCGGUCAUCCGCCACAGCUCCC
RNAcentral lists this long non-coding RNA (529 nucleotides) under Triticum aestivum (bread wheat). RNAcentral's name for it is "long non-coding RNA (TAES_LNC022814)". The record is from RNAcentral. Lineage: Eukaryota; Viridiplantae; Streptophyta; Magnoliopsida; Poales; Poaceae.